This 239-nucleotide unclassified non-coding RNA is filed under the name Hevea brasiliensis (rubber tree). Lineage: Eukaryota; Viridiplantae; Streptophyta; Magnoliopsida; Malpighiales; Euphorbiaceae. The record is from RNAcentral.
GCCCAGACCUGGUAGGUACUUUCUGGCAUAGUACAUAAUUGCACGCACAAGAUUUUCAGGUCUUAUUCCUCUUGUUUCCAUUGUGUGGAUUAGUUUUUCGAACAAACCUACACUGAGGUAAGAUAUGUCUUCAAACCACCAGUCAGAUUCUGUGCUUCUGAUUCUUGCACCAGUGUUUAUUCCAUUCCACAGGAUGCUACCACCUGGGCUCUGUAAGCUACCAUACAUCAUCAUGGGCC